GGAGGUGGCAAUCUCCCUAAGCACAGAGGCCUGGGGAAAGAGUCCAUCCAACCUCUGACACUGACCUUGCUCACCCCAGGGCCUUCUUCAGACAGAAGUAGAAGAGAGUCUUGUUUCCUCAGACACCCUUACUUCCUGAUCUUUAGGGAUGGACCAUUGGAGGUCUCUUCAAUGCCUUCAUUUUUCUGAGAGAGAAUUUUUGCCCCCUUACCAACUCUAGCAUGGACAACAGACUGUAGGCUAUUCUACCACUUAUGGAGAUCCCUGGAGCUCAGGUUAAAUGUUGGAGAAAAGCACCACGGAGGAACACUUGCGUUUUAGGGAGAUUCUUUCUGGGUCAUCUUACCAUCUUGCUGCGAAUUAUCCUUGGUCCAUGGAGCUGAAGUAAUCUCCUGAGAUCACCCUAAGGAGGCUCCUUUUAUAGAGUGGUCUCUGUUUUCCUUUUGUCACUGUUGUUGUUUUCAGAGAACAAAGGAAGGAAAUUGCAGCUACCUAGUGAAGUGAAUGGAACCAGGGGAACAAUCUAUUCAAUGAUUUUAAUAAACUGAAGGCAAACAACUGAAGUGUGGAGC
Non-coding RNA from Phascolarctos cinereus (koala), 572 nucleotides. NCBI's taxonomy places the organism in Eukaryota, Metazoa, Chordata, Mammalia, Diprotodontia, Phascolarctidae. The record is from RefSeq and is a predicted model, not a curated record.